RNAcentral lists this long non-coding RNA (2884 nucleotides) under Homo sapiens (human). RNAcentral's name for it is "PREDICTED lncRNA (TCONS_00219494)". Lineage: Eukaryota; Metazoa; Chordata; Mammalia; Primates; Hominidae. The record is from RNAcentral.
CGCUGGUGUGCUGGUUGAGCGGGAUGAUCUCCAUGCGCUGCUGGCCAUACAGGUAAUAGUCCAGCUCCUCUGCGCUGCAGCGGAAGCGCGGGGCGCCGCGACCCUCCCCGCCGCCGCCGCCACCACCACCGCACUUGACGGGCCCGGGGCCGGAGGUGGCGCCGAGGCACAGUUCCUUGGGGGGCAGCGGCUCGGCGGCGACGGCAGCGGCGGCUAGAGGCGCGAACACCGGCAGCUGCGACACCGGCAGGGCCGAGAGACCAGCCAGCGCGGCGGCAGCGGCCGCAGCAGCGCAGGAGGAGGCGGAGGAGGCGGAGGUGGAAGAGGAAGCCGGCGUGGACGAGGCGGAGGAGAGAGAGGCGGGCCGCGGGCGCAGGCUGUCCGGCGGAGGCUCAGCGCGCUCCGGGGGCGGGGGCGGCGGCGGCGGCUGAAGAGGCUGCGGCGCGCUCAGGAGACCCGCGGCGCCGCUGCCCUUGAGCGGGCCUGCGCCUCCGUGAGGGAAGAGUUGCUGCCAGUGCUGCAGUUUUCUGAACCUGGGAAACGUGCUGUUCAGACUUCAUCCGGGUCUCAUUCAGGAUGCUUCGAUGUUGGUUGGAAGAGAGUUAGACCGAAAAUGUUUUGACUGGCGUCGUUAUGACAAGGUCAUCCGUCAUUGUUGGAUAGAUUGAUAGCACCCAAGUUUAAGGCAGACACCACGAGGGAAAGCCCACGGCGCUGUGGUCCCGGAGGCUAACCAGGCAGUGUCCGCAGACCUCCAGCAACUCCAUCGGGAGGAGAGGAUGAAGUUCCAGGCCCGUUUCAAUUAAUCUGCUCGCAGAACUGCCGAAGAGUGGCUUGUCGGGCCACGGGAGAAGAAACAAAUGCUCUUUCUCACACUCUCCUGGUUCAUUGCUGAGAAACCAGGACACUCCUCUGUUCCCUGGGAGAGACAGUGAACUCCAGGGAUGGAAGUCCGGACUCCGGCGGCGGUCCCGUCAUUUGCCUUCUUGUUUCUGCCCAAACCCAGCUAGUUCCAAGCGCUUGGUCCCCAAGACUGGAAGUCCCCAAGAACCUACCUCUACCUGUCCCAACCCUGCCUCCCCCCUACCCUUUCACCCCCUGCCACCAUUAGAAAGUCUCUGGAUUUUGAAAUGCUAGUUGCAGCAGCUGCUUCCGUGGCCUCAUGCCGCCCACACUCUGGGAAGCGGAGGAGGGAGGGUUCCUCUCGUAAUAAGAUUAGCUGACCUGUUAAUGAGAGUUUUGGACGUGCCGGGCGGGGGUAGGCGCUUUAUGUCCAUUUAAUCCACCUACAUGCGGAGAAGGCAUUAUCAUUAACCCCCAUAUUGUAGAUGGGGACCGCUGAGGUUCGGAAAGUUUAGAUGGGUUGCCUAAGGUCACGCCAUUAAUGAGUAAUGGAGACGGAUUCAAAUACCGUUCGGUAAGGUGCCAAGUGCAUCUUCUGCCUACCCUAGUCCAACCUGUAGCCACUCGGUCCAGACUGACGCCAGAGGGGCUAUCAUGGGAGAGAUUUGGUUCCCCUCGCUGCGGGGUCCAGGGAAGAAGCUGAGAAGGUAGCAAAGUCCCCCUCGCCCACUACGUCUACAGGUGGCGUACCUGGGUAAUCCGAUUCAAGCUUCCGCCACACCCACCCCGGGCACAAGUCGAUCCCGAGGCUUACGGGACCCUAAGGCCCAGAGGCUACAGGAACCUCCCGUGAAGGGGGCAGGAGAAAGUUUGAGGGAGAGCCCUGAAGGUCCGGGAGCGAACGAAAAAGUCUGGAAGGGAAUAGACCAGGAGUCAGGACCUCCCCUGCACCUCCCCAGCAGGCCCACUGCGCCGAGCGGGGCCCCUGCCUCCACCGCGGCUUCCGGGAUGCCCGCAGAGCUCGGCAUCCUCACCCGGUGCGCACAAGGGCGCGCAGCGGCGUAAGCUGGACCCCCGACGCUGCGCGCGCUCUGAGGGGCGCUUCCCCCUCACACAGUUGACCCUGGGCCCGCUUGGUCACGGCCACCCUGGCGCAUCUCAAUAGUUUUUAGAAAGUGAGCCCACCGACGGCAAGGACAUGCACCCCCUCAAAUCCGCUUCCCCCACCCCCUUCAAUACUGAGAAGACCACGGAAACAAAUCACUUCGACCACUUAGAAAGCGAUCAAACCUUUAUAAAAAUCCAUCGCUCCCAAAUCGAUGGGUGAAUAUUUGCUGGGAAUUUGUUCCAGAGGAAUAAAUGAGGAGCCUUGAGUGUAUUAAAUGCAAACGGGGGGACACGGUGGUGUUUUUCUUCAUUGAUUAAUGACCUCUAAAAUAAAACAAGUGGGAAGAGGAGCCAGGAUCGAUAAAUUACCCAAAUUCAUCAUUUUCUCGAGCAUUUUCGCCCCGAAAAUUAUCCUUGGGAAGCCCAUUGUACCCUGAGCUGGGAGGGGAAGGAUGUAGCUGGAGGCCAGGGUAGGGAGGGAGCAGCAGAAGGGGUAGGAGGAGAGAAGGGGGUUCUGUCCAGGAGACCCUCUAUCUGAUUCCGUUUAACAUACAAUUCAAAAGUUUGCCUUUCAUAUUAUUUUUUCUUGAUGGGGGAGUGGAACAAAUGGUCGGUUGCCUUUGACAGGACUCCAAUAAAGGAUUCAGCAGCUCUCCGCUCUGCCCUGGGUGCUCCUGCUUCUAGUAGGUUUAAGGUCACGGGUGGCUGAGUUAAUAAUUCAUUAAUAUAGACAUUUAUUCAGAAGGGUUCGCUGAGAUCCACUCUUCCUGCCUCCUCCCAGAGAUUUGUUUUCCUAGGAAAUGGAUGGGGGUGGGGGGUGGGCUGCAGGUGAAAGGAGGGGGGCGGGAGGAGAAGGAAAGGCUGGAUGUAGCUAGGAGGAAUCUUUGCUGAGCCGUAUUAGCAGACAGGUCCCUUGAGCCUGCCAGCAAAAACU